UACGGGGGGGGCAAGCGUUGUUCGGAAUUACUGGGCGUAAAGGGUUCGUAGGUGGCUUGCUAAGUCAGACGUGAAAUCCCUCAGCUUAACUGGGGAACUGCGUUUGAAACUGGGAGACUUGAGUGUGGCAGAGGGGGGUGGAAUUCCACGUGUAGCAGUGAAAUGCGUAGAUAUGUGGAGGAACACCGAUGGCGAAGGCAGCCCCCUGGGUUAACACUGACGCUCAUGCACGAAAGCGUGGGGAGCAAACAGG
This 253-nucleotide ribosomal RNA is filed under the name uncultured bacterium. Its description in RNAcentral is "partial 16S ribosomal RNA". It matches the Rfam family "Bacterial small subunit ribosomal RNA", at positions 524 to 776 of the family's 1533-position model. The record is from RNAcentral.